CAUCAGAAUCCUGCAAAAGCCAGAAGAUGUGUGAUGAAGUGCUAUCGUGAAAGACAGGAGACUCAAUAAAGCGCCAAUCAAGGAACAACCCAAAGGAACUUCCAAGAAUGCGUACAAAGUCUGGUGCUAUUUAAAGAGUGCUAUUGACUUGGCAGUAAGUCUUUAGCUGUAGUGAAAGCACUGUGAUGCUUGACCUUACAGUAACUUUACAACAGUUAAGCAGUGUUGGGGAAACCAGAGAAUCCAAAGAUCAACAUACAGAGCAUCUUGUGGUGUAAGACGAGAGAAUCGCCCUGCCAUGACCCUUCUCAUCUCCAGCUGGGUGUUAAGAGCUUCCAGGGUCGGUGUGGGUGAGACGACUCCAUGUUUGAAAAGCUUUUUGAGCGGCUGGGCAUUCAUGUGAUGAAGUAUCAUAUCCUGACAGGACCGAUGAGGACUGAACAUACACUACUGGCUUUGGAUCUCCCGAACCCAAGCCACUCUUCGCACAUACGGACUGGGACUUCUGGAUCUGCGCAGCAUCCCGGGCAGCUUGUCCGAUCUGAGCAUCAUUGAACUGAGCAACAACUCUCCUCUUCCUCUUCUUC
Molecule: long non-coding RNA, 587 nt
Organism: Misgurnus anguillicaudatus (oriental weatherfish)
Lineage: Eukaryota; Metazoa; Chordata; Actinopteri; Cypriniformes; Cobitidae
Source: RefSeq, a predicted model, not a curated record